CUUCUCAGACUCGCCUAGCGGUCUUUUUCAUCUCGUAAAGCGGUAUUUCUCUCUUUUAUCAUCUCUUCAAGGACAUAGAGCUUCGGUUCCCCCUCUUCCUAAUGGACUACGAGGACCCUAGGGCUGAGGACUCUUAGAAAGAAGGAUUACCGUACUGGCUUACCCUUAUUAAGAACAGACUGGCUGACUUCCUGGCUUUUUUAUUCAAAGAAGGCAAAGAAGGAGAGGAAAGCACAGACGGG
Molecule: long non-coding RNA, 242 nt
Filed under: Nicotiana benthamiana
Lineage: Eukaryota; Viridiplantae; Streptophyta; Magnoliopsida; Solanales; Solanaceae
Description: long non-coding RNA (NBEN_LNC034980)
Source: RNAcentral